CUCCGGGCCCGGCUCCCCAGCCGGGACAGCAGCUGGAGAGGGAAGGCCUGGACAGGCUACAUCGGCCACCGCAAUCCCCGCGUCCGCUUCCCGGGGUGAAGUGAGGAGGGUCCCCACGGCGCCCGGCGGCGUGUCUGGACGGUGCCGGGGAUUCACUUAAAGAGCCCACACACCGCAGGCAGCCGGAGAAGGUCGUGGGAAGCCCCGAAAGCGCCCGCCCGCAGCAGCGGGGAGAGCGGCUCUGCAGUCCGACCAUGCCUCUCUGCAG
This is a long non-coding RNA of Phyllostomus discolor (pale spear-nosed bat), 268 nucleotides long. RefSeq lists it as uncharacterized. The transcript is spliced from 3 exons. NCBI's taxonomy places the organism in Eukaryota, Metazoa, Chordata, Mammalia, Chiroptera, Phyllostomidae. The record is from RefSeq and is a predicted model, not a curated record.